RNAcentral lists this ribosomal RNA (157 nucleotides) under Phillipsia domingensis. RNAcentral's name for it is "5.8S rRNA". It matches the Rfam family "5.8S ribosomal RNA". Rfam says of the family: 5.8S ribosomal RNA (5.8S rRNA) is a component of the large subunit of the eukaryotic ribosome. Lineage: Eukaryota; Fungi; Ascomycota; Pezizomycetes; Pezizales; Sarcoscyphaceae. The record is from RNAcentral.
AAACUUUCAACAACGGAUCUCUUGGUUCUCGCANCGAUGAAGAACGCAGCGAAAUGCGAUAAGUAGUGUGAAUUGCAGAAUUCAGUGAAUCAUCGAAUCUUUGAACGCACAUUGCGCCCUCUGGCAUUCCGGAGGGCAUGCCUGUCCGAGCGUCAUU